UAAAAAUAAAAAUAAAAUUAGGCUCGGAAGUCUAUCUGAUUUAGUUGAUUUUUCCUACGUUUUUUUGUUUUUAUCUGCGGGCAUACUUUCCUCUAUCUUGCAAUUAGAUAAGGAAAAGCAGGAAAAGGAAAAAGAAAAACAAAUACUCAUACAGCUGAAUUACUGCUGCAUAAUAAUUUUUCUAUUUCACUUUCUCUCUCUAGAAAAUAAAGGAAAACGAUAAAUCAUCCCAUGUUUCUUUUUCAAUCUUCCUUUUAUUGGAGUUUCCAGAGAUAAAUUUCAGUACGAGGUUCUAACUGCUCUAUUUCGGUGUCAGAGAAGACAGAAGAAUAGUCAAGUGUUGAAGCAAUGGGGUAUGUGGUGGUGGUAUCUUUACCAGUGAUCCUCUUCUUCUUGAUAACGGCGAUUGGUUGUUACCUUCUCGGGAGGGCGCGUGGCAGAAAAGAAAAUCUUAGGCUUCCUCAGCAUUACUAUGGACCUCCACCUGUACCUGCUCCUCCACCUCAACUACUUGGACCACAUACUCCUGCUCCACACAAGUAGAUCUCUUCUUCUUCUUUUUUUAUAAGUAAUAUGCACUAUAGCUUUUAAUGCUUUUCUAUUGUACAAUAGCUUAUUUACUUGUAUAAUUAAAUGUUUUGUGUAAAUGUGACACAAAUAAAGUCUUUUUAUUUCACAUUUAAUUUGGAUAAGAUCGGACCAAGGGGCCAUUACCCCUCCACUCUUAUAA
Molecule: non-coding RNA, 730 nt
Organism: Erythranthe guttata (spotted monkey flower)
Lineage: Eukaryota; Viridiplantae; Streptophyta; Magnoliopsida; Lamiales; Phrymaceae
Source: RefSeq, a predicted model, not a curated record